Molecule: long non-coding RNA, 5032 nt
Filed under: Lynx pardinus (Iberian lynx)
Lineage: Eukaryota; Metazoa; Chordata; Mammalia; Carnivora; Felidae
Source: RNAcentral
CCAGGUGAGCACUGAGCACAUUCUUCUAUUUUUCCAAUUAAGUAUGAGAGGUCGCCACCGGAAAGCUGCGGCUGGGGCAGUUAGAGGAGGAAGCGGACAGUGUGAAGAAUAAUCCAGGAGGGCAGGCCUCUUGAGAAAUCGAGCAGGACAGCCGGGCGGUUCUAAGCUUUUCGGGGCUGGUGGUGGUGAGUGGUCAGUGGUGCCCUUCUGCCUGGGUGUGCGUUGGGCAUCAGCAGCUCCCGGCUGCAGGAGGACAGGACCGGAGGGACCCAACCCUGACCAUCGUGUAGACAAUGUAGCAUUUGUAAACAAGGGGAAGCUGAAAAUACAAAAGGCAGCGAGGGUAGCACUAGCCGCCUCACAGACCCAUGGUGAGGACAGAAUGCCACAGCGCACGGAACGGAUCAGGAGCGUGCCGGGGCGAAACAUAAACCCGUGCCUGCCCUUCCUUUCCCUUCCCGUCCCAUCAUUCCCCGUGAGCACGGAAGCUGAGAUUCCUGGGUGGAAAUGGAGCCGUCCCAUCCCCCACCGUCCAGAGGGCAACUGUCCAGUAGCAGUGGGGGAAACUAACAGCAUCCCAACCUGCUCCCCAGAGCCCAUCCCACCCCAUCCUCCUUGCCCAUUGCAGAAAUUGGUGUGGGCACCACCGGCUUCGGAAUCUUCUUCAUCCUCUUUGGAAUACUCCUGUACUUUGAUUCGGUGCUCCUGGCCUUCGGAAACGUGAGUCCCCAAGCCUGUGUACCCUCUGCCACCAACCUACCUGAGGUCUCAAUUGCCAGGAAGAUGGGCCCCAAGUUCAUUCAGAUUGUGCCCAUCCAGGGGUCUGCACCAUCAAGCCUGGGCCGGUGGGGGUGGCCGGGGGUGGGCAGCGAGGCCUGCUGGGCGCGGAGAAUCCGAGGAUGUGGAUUCUCAUGCCAAAGCUCUGGGUGAGGCCCUGCAGGUACCAAGAUGAAUGGGCUGCUGUCCCUGCCAGUGGAACGCCCCUGUCUAGGGAUAGGGACAUAACGUGAAUGUCCGUGACUGGGAAGGAAGGCAGGGGCAGCCAUAAAGUCGCAAUAAGAUAAGUACACUUAAUCUAGAACAAGAUGGCUGGAGGAAGAAAGCCUAUCCAGCUGGAGAGGGACGAAAAGGAAUUUGGAAAGGCAAUGGGUGUGGAGGCAGAAGGAACAGCAAGAGAAAAGGUAUGAGGAAGGGGAGGAAAGGCAUGGAACAUGCUGGAAGAAAGCCAGAGAGUUAAAUCUGAUGGACACCUGGGCACUCCUAAGGGACCAUUAGGAGCCAAGCUGAAGAUAGUGACGGGGCCAGACAGUGGAGCCCUGAUGUCUGGCUAUGGCUAGGUAUGGCUGCCUCAGUGUUCACCUCCGUAAAAUGGAGAGACUCUGUCUAUGCCGUCUUCCCCGGGAAGUGUUGGUGUGACAAGAAAUAAAGUCAUAUAUGAAAAAGUGAUUGGGAGCCAAGAAGUUGGGUUGAAUUGGGUGAACGGAUGGAGACCUUCAAAGUCCUCCUUGUCCAUCCUCCUGUCUCGGGGAGGUUCUGCUCCUAACAGAACUCUUCCUGAAGAGGCAGCAAGUCCUGCCCUAGGCCUGGCCCCUGACUCCCCGUUGGUGGAGGGCCGGGGGGGUGUUGGUGUGUUGGUUCUCAUGCUUCUCUCCCUCCCUCCCCCGCAGCUGCUAUUCCUGACUGGCCUCUUGCUCAUCAUCGGCCUGAGGAAGACCUUUUCCUUCUUCUUCCAGAGGCACAAGCUCAAAGGGACCAGCUUCUUCCUGGGGGGUGUGGCCAUUGUGCUCCUGCGCUGGCCCCUCCUGGGCAUGUUCCUGGAAACCUAUGGAUUCCUUAGCCUCUUCAAGUGAGUGCGGGUCUCUUUCCCCUGGAUGAGCCCACCAGGGCCUCUGAGCAGCUGAGAUCACCCCGCCAGGUUUGGCCAGCACGACCGACAGGGUAUGCAGACACAGGGAUGCUAUCCCGCGGAUGGGAGCCACAGAAGGACUGAAAAGCAGAUGGGCAUCAGGCAGACACUUGGAAGUUCCCUCCGACAGUAGGACGAAGGACAAAUUGGAGGGAUUGGCCCAUCCACCUGCAAACAUUGAGCACCUGCUGUGUGCCCGGCCCUAGGCCUGCCCUUAAGGAGGAGACACAGGGCCUGCCUUCAACUUGAAGAAUCCAGCAGGGAGGAGGGGCAGUGAACUAGCAUUUGCCCGGCCCCUCAUAUGCCCCUAGCACGUUCACAGGCGUCACCUCACUUUAUCGUCUUUACAACCCACUGCAGGACUGCUCUCUGCAGUUGAGGAAACCAGAUCUGAGAGGCUGCCCCCCCUCCCCCCACCCGCCGGAGGUCUCACACAAAGUAUGCAGAGGAUCUGGACUUGAUCCAGGCAUCCCUGGCUGCUGGCCUCAUGUCCUUCGGCCUGUCCAGUGUCAGCCUGGCCUGCUGAAAGGUGGGGUGGAAGUCAGCGAAGAUGUGUGGCCACUGCCAAGGCCAGGGAGGUGUCCAGGGCAGGGAGGGCCUGUCCUGAGACAGGCCGUGGGGACAGGCAAGCUUUAAGAGGAGACUGGGGGGUGCUUAAGGAGAAGAAAGGAAAGGAUGUCGGGAAGAAGGUGCCUAUUGUCUCUGGGACACUGGAGGACAGUGGUGGGAUGGAGAAGACGGGCUGGAAGAAGCAUGGCUUAUGCACUCACCGGAAGGAGCCGGGGCCAGGACCCCGACUUCUCAUAAAGCCCUCCGUUUGCCCAGUGCAGCCUUAAAAACACUUUGAUUAGCCUGAAUGCCCCAGACCUCCUAGACAUCAUAUAAUGUGGCUUCGAGAAACUAAAUUUUCUCACACGCGCUCUGCCAUCCACUUGUUUAACAUCCAGACAUGUCACUAUUCAAACAGCCACUUACUCAAAUAGUCAAAAACACAAAAAGUACCUACUGCGUGCCAAAUACAGAGCUAGGUGGGGGGAUGUGGCGCUCAACAGGGAGAAACUUCCCGAGGACCUCGCAACCUAGUCGAGAAGACAAAUUCUGACGACAGUGACCAUUUAUUGAGGGAUUAGAAGGGUGAGUGGGGCCACUGCAGAUUCAGUAGCUCCAACCAAACGUAAACCUUGACAAAGACCCCUUGCAACAGCAUUGGGGGGGGCGAGAAAACCAAAAUCAGAGCUCUAAGGGACGUCAGAGAUGUCAGUGAGCCUCGGGGAAAUGAGGCCCUGGGAGAGGAAAUAGCUCAGCCAACAUUCAAAUGUCUAACCCCCUCGCCUCUCCACACACACAGGGCUCCCCCCCCACGCCAACCUCAGUGUUUCCAAGCCCUUUGAACGAUGGUGCACAUGUGUCCAGCCAGACCUUGCCAGGGUGUGUUUGACAAGAGUGGGGAAGCCAAGGGCAAAGGGUGGCUCCACGCGUGGGCACCACGCCGAGGCACCAGGGAAAACACCCAUGAGCACGGCCGCCAGCAGCUACCCAUGCGGGGGCCCAGGAAAUCUGAAGCAGGCAGCACCCACCCAGUCCAGGGAGGAGAAGACAGUAACAAUGAUACAAACGCUUCUUUUCUUAAAAAAGUUUUUUAAUGGGAGGGAGAGAAUCCCAAGCAGGCCUCGCGCUUUCUCAGCGCAGAGCCCAACAUGGGACUCAAACUCACCGACCGUGAGAUCGCGACCCGCACCGGAUGCUUAAGCAACCGAGCCGCCCAGGUGCCCCCAAACACUUCUUGAACGUUUCUUUGCGGAAGGCCCUAUGGUGUAGAUACUAUUAUUAACCUCAUUUACAGCUGGGAACUGAGAUUCAGAGAAGUUGAGGAAUUUUGCCCCAAGUUUAUACAGCACGAGCAAGUGGCAGAGCCCAGAUUUGAACCCAAGGAGCCUGACCCCAGCCCCUUUAUUCUUAACCACUUCACAUGGUUGCCUCCCCAAACCCAGGGGGUGCAGAACCAAGCCUGCCCCCAGUGCCCAAGGGCCCGCUUUCUGGGGAACCAAAGCUGGAGCCUUUGGGUAGAUCUCGCCCCAGGCCAUCGCUGACCCCUCCCCCCCACCUCUGCUCCUAGGGGCUUUUUUCCUGUCGUCUUUGGCUUCCUGGGCAAUGCCUCUGACAUCCCCUUCCUGAGUGCGGUAAGUAGAUUAUGCAUGUGGCUUGGUGAUGAUGCCUUGGGGUGAGGGGCCCUGGUGAGACUGCUGCCCCAGUGCAAUGGAGCCUUCCCGUCUCCCCUCAAGCCCCUUUCCCCUCAACUCCUCUCCCCAUCCCCACACCUUCUCCAUUUGACAAGAGCAGAUGAGGAGAGGGCACCCGGGAGCAUUGUGCCUAAGGCGUAGGUAUUGAGGCAAGUGGCUAUUCAUAGCUCCUCAUUAGAGCGAAAGAAACAGAUUCAGAGUCUAGGUGACCCAGCCAGAAAGUGCCAGAGAUUUCUGGGGAGCUGGCUGAGUCUGGGCCCCAGGCAUGGAGAGCGUGUGUGACAGCCAGUGACAACAGAAGCUGGUGGCCGAUCCUGUCCUCUCCUGGAGGCACGCAGGGGGCAGCGGUCCCCAGCCCCUGCCCCUCCCUUUCUCUAAAGCAUAUUUUCUGACAGAAUAGGAGCUGAGAAGCUUAGGGAGGCCCUACAGCCAGCUGGCUCAUCCCCGUGGCCCCCUCUCCCGAUCUGUACUCAAGGCCCAGCUCUCAAGGCCCGCUCCACAAUAACCUAGAUAUGGAGUGUGCUGCUCACUCUUUGUCUGAAGUAAUGAUUCUUGGCUCCCACAGCUGUUCCGGAGGCUUCAAGGCACCAGCUCAAUGGUCUGAACAGCAGAGACGAGCUCCUUGAACUUGGAUCAUUGGUUGAGGGGGCUGGAAAGGAAGUGGGGGCUGCCUCCACCCUGCAGUGACUCAUCUCCCCAUCAUCCCCAGCCCUCUCCAAGUCCAGAAGGAAGAACAGAGUUGAAUGACUGACCUCAGAUUCCAAGUCAACUCAAAAGGCUGUUGACAUGGCUGCGGACAGAGAUCCGGGGCCCCACCGCGAUCAGACUGGGGCCGGUAUUACAUCCUGCCCUGUAUUUAUGGGAGGAGAGCGAAGAUUAAAUCCCC